UGUAAGCGUAUACCAAAGUUGUUGCAGUUAAAACGCUCGUAGUCGGAAUUUGGCAGUUCCGGAUGUGUGCACGUCGUGUGCGCACUUCGCGGGGAUUGCUUUUGUGGUCUUGCGUAGGAUGAGGCACUUUUAUUAGUGAACGUCCUCACGCAACCACUUUUUACUGUGAGAAAAUCAGAGUGCUCAAAGCAGGCAUUUGCCGUGAAUGUAUUAGCAUGGAAUAAUAGAAUAGGACUUGGUUCUUUUUUGUUGGUUUGUUGGGACUGAGUAAUGAUUAAGAGGGACAGUUGGGGGCAUUUGUAUUUCGGUGCUAGAGGUGAAAUUCUUAGAUUACCGAAAGACAAACUGCUGCGAAAGCGUCUGCCAAGGAUGUUUUCAUUGA
Molecule: ribosomal RNA, 382 nt
Filed under: uncultured eukaryote
Lineage: Eukaryota
Description: partial 18S ribosomal RNA
Rfam family: Eukaryotic small subunit ribosomal RNA
Source: RNAcentral